This 938-nucleotide unclassified non-coding RNA is filed under the name Zea mays. Its description in RNAcentral is "misc RNA Zm00001eb248570". The record is from RNAcentral. Lineage: Eukaryota; Viridiplantae; Streptophyta; Magnoliopsida; Poales; Poaceae.
AGCCGUGCUCGGGCCGGGCCAGCCCGGCACGAACCGUUGGACAUGUAUAAUUUGAGAUAGCUUGCUGCCGGACGCAACUCUACUAGCUACUACUACUGUGUGGCAUUUAGCGUUUCUAAGCUCUCAUUAUGUAGCCGGCCCAACUUGUCCGUUGCGCCACUAGAGAGGUCCACACCUUUCCCGAUAAACAAACAUAUUACGCCAAAGGAAAGGGAAAAAAAACCGUUCUAAUCAUCGCACAACGUGCACUCGGACGGAGCGGGGGGGGGGGGGGGGGGGGGGGGGGGGGGGGGGGGAGGGGAGAGGAGAGGGGAAAAAGAAAAAGAUCUCCUCCGAAAUUCGAUCGCGCAGCGUCGUGCAGCAUGCACGUCACCAUCGACUCCACUACGGAAAAGGUCUCUCGGCGUCGGCGGGCAUCGUCACCGGUGCGGUUUUUCCGGUCGUCUCUGCGUCUGCGUGUGCCAGGAGCGGCGGCCGCCGCCAGCUCGUCCCCUGGGCCACCUAGUAGCGCGCGGAGCAGGAGGGACAGGGACAAUGCAAGGGAUUGGGAUAGGAGCGGCCAGCAGUAGUAGCGAUAGCAUAGCAGCAGUGUGUAGAAAAAAAUCAUGCCAGCAAAGGCGAGACGACGGCAGGCAGGGAAACGUGGAGAACUGUGUGUGUCGUGUCGUCUCAAUCAUUUUUGCGUGCAGUGGGAUGGUGCCAAGCUGCAGCGCGGCGGGGGAUGGUGCUUACUUGUUGCCGAGCGUGGCGUGGAGGCUCAUCACCGUCUCCUCCUCCUCCGGGGAGAACAUGCCGUGCUUCAGCCCCGGCCGAAGGUAGUUGAUCCACCGCAGCCUGCAGCUCUUGCCGUUCCGCUGGAGCCCUGUGCCGACGCCACAGAAUUCCUCAGUUUCCAGACCAAUGCGCGCGCGUUUGUUUAUGGUCUGAUGAAAAAACUA